CGGCCGCGAGGCGCUCGGGCGCGAACGCGCCGGCGCCGAGGCUGCCGAGCGCGCCGGCGUUCGAUGCGGCGGCGACCAUC
This 80-nucleotide transfer RNA is filed under the name Burkholderia stabilis. Its description in RNAcentral is "tRNA-Leu(gag)". Lineage: Bacteria; Pseudomonadati; Pseudomonadota; Betaproteobacteria; Burkholderiales; Burkholderiaceae. The record is from RNAcentral.